UUUUUUUUUUGGUUUUUUUUUUUUUUUUUUUUUUGUGGUGUCCUUUUUAAAGAGGCAAUAGAAUUGUAGCCUCUUUAACUUCUGAUGUCUGCCCCCCCUUGUGGCUAAAGUUUGUAUGGGGACUUUCUGUAGGCUUCCUGAUGGGAGGGACUGGUGUCUGCCUAUUGGUAGGUGGGGCUGAUUCCUAUCCCUCUGGUGGGUGGAGCUUUGUCUCUGGGUGAGAUUAGAGGUGGCUGUGUGCCUGGGGGUUCUUUAGGCAGCCUGUUUACUAAUGGGUGGUACUAUGUGAUCCCACCUGUAUUGUUGUUUGGCCUGGGGCUUCUCAGUGCUGAUGUGUGGGGCCAUAUUUUCGCAAAAGGACCACCUCCAGAGAAAUGCUUGCUGAUGAAUUUUCCCAAGAAUUUUGCCUCCAAUGUCCUUUCCCUACAACAAGCCACAUUCACCCCCUGUUUUCCCAGGAUAUCCUGCAGGAAAUGCAGUCAGGUCCAACCCAGAUCCUUAUGGAGCCUUUGCUUUGCCCUGGUACCCAAUGCACAUGAAAAUGUGUGCACCUUUUAAGAAUGGGGUCUCCAUUUCUCCAAGUCUGUGGAGUUCCUGCAUGCAAGAUCCACUGGCCUUCAAUGACAGAUGCUCCAGGGGCUAUCUCUUUCCGUGCCAAAUACCCACACGUGGGAAUUUGAUGUGGUUGUCCGAACUCUCACUCCUGUAGGUGAAUCUCUAUGAAACAGUUACCUUCCAGUCUGUGGAGCUUCCCACCUGGGAGAUAAGGGUUUGCUUAUAUUAUCACUCUUCCUACCUCUUGAAGUGGCCUCCACUUUGUCUUCUGGAGUAGGGUAUAUUUUUGAAUGUUUCUAGUCCAUUUGGUUGAAGGUUGCUCAGCAUCUGGUUGUAAUUUUGUUGUUUUUAUGAGACAAUUUGAGCUACAGUCCUUCUAUUCAGCCAUCUUAAUCCUAUCUCCAGGAAGAACUUGCAUCUUAACAAUACUGAGUUUUCUGUUCUUGAACAUGGACUGUCUCUUCAUUUAUUGAGAUCUUAUUUUAUUUUUUUAAAUUCAGAGUAUUAUUGUUUACAUCAUAAUAAAUCUUAUAUGUCUUUCAUUAGAGGUAUAUUUAAGUAUUUAAUUUUUGGUACUAUAUAGAUGGUAUGGUAUUUUUAAUUUCAAAUUCUAGUUGUUCAUUGCUGGUAUAUAGGAAAUCAAUUGAUGUUUGUAUAUUGACAUAUAUCUUGCAAACUUUCUAUAAUCACUUAUCAGAAGCAUUUUUCUUUUCUUUGGGAUAUUUUUUCAUGGGCAGUCCUAUUGUCUGUAAACAAGGAAAGUUUUAUUUCUUCCUUCCAAAUCUUUACACUUUUUUCCCUUUUUUUUCUUGCUGUACUAAUUAGGACUUUCAGCAUUAUGUUGAAUAGUAAUGGUGAAAGUAUAUCCUUCUUUUGCUCCUGAUCUGAGGGGUAUAGUAUCAUAUUUCUCACCAUUAAGUAUACUACCUAUAGGUUUUUAAAAUACUUUCCUUAUCAGCUUGGAGAAGUCUUCCUCUAUUCCUAUUUUGCUGAGAGUUUUUAUUGGAUCAGGAAUGAGUGUUGGAAUUUGUCAAAUGCUUUUUCAGCAUUUAUUGAUGUAAUCAUGUUUAUCCUGGUGGUAUGAUGGAUUACAUAGAAUGAUUUUCAAAUGCUAACUAAGGCAUAUUUUAAAUGUAGUUUCACACACAAUGUAACAUUUGAAAACCAAGCAUUUUUACAUGCAUUCCCUUGAUCAAAAAAAUGAUUAGAUACAAAGAGGGGAGGGUACUUGAGAAGGAGACAAAUCCAGAGAAUUUUCAAAUUUUAGAAUUUUAGACUUUUCUGAUGAGUGAAAUCGAUGGCUUUGAUUUUAUUUUUUAUCACAGUUUUCCAACUGAGGUUUUGCCUUGAAGGUUGAAAGAUGAAUUAUGAUGGACAACUAAAAUGUGAUGAGAAGGUACCACAUCUCUCACAUUGUCUAUAACUUUAGAAAAGCAGUGUUUCAAGUGGUUAACUAAAUCAUCUUUAUACUUUAUGCUCCAAACAAGCAGUGCAGGUCAAUGCAGAUAACAUUUAAAGUUAAGGGUACUCAUGUUGCAACAGAACAAAGGAUGGGGGAAAAAAUGUAAUUGUAAUGUAUACAUGUAAGGAUAACCUGACCCCCUUGCUGUACAGUGGGAAAAUAAAAAAAUUAUAAAAAAUAAUAAAAAAAUAAAGUUAAGGGUGGUUUUCCCUAAGAAAAAAACAAUUUGUUACUAUAAUUGUAUUUGUGACCCCACAGAUAUGCUUUAAAUUAUGCUAAUAAUUGGGAGGUAUAAAUGAAUAGUAAUCUAAGAUUACCAUCAUCAUGGAGCCAGCAACCAAUUUGGGGAGACAAAAUUAAAUGGGAAUUACCUAGAUAGGAGAUGCACUUUAUACAAUCGGGUCCUGAACCAGGUAGUACAGAAAAUAAACAUCUGAAGGAGUCAGGAAAUUGAGACUAUAGUAGGCUAAAGCAAAGAAGGAAGACUCUAUGAGAAAUGGAGUUUUGACUGGGCUUGAAGGAAGAGUAGAAUUAUGGGCAGAUGGAAAAUGUAUCUUGAUACAUUUUAAGAAAAAGACAGCACAGAGGUGAUUUGUGACUUUCCUAUGCCGCCUCUGUGGUACCCCUCCUCCUAAUUCAUAAGCUGUUUUGGGAGUUCCUGUUGUGGUGCAGUGGAAAUGAAUAUGACUAUAUCUCUGAGGAUGUUGGUUCCAUCCCCGGCCUUGGUGAGUGGAUUAAGGAUCCAGCAUUGCCGUGAGCUGUGGUGUAGGUCACAGACAUGGCUUAGAUCUGGUGUUGCUGUGGCAGUGGCAUAGGCCAGCAGCUAUGGCUCAAAUUUGACCCCUAGCCUGGGAACUUACAUAUGCCAUGGGUGCAGACCACCAAAAAAAUUUUUAAAAAAGGAACAGUUUUGCCUCUUUGUGCUUCAUGUUUGACUAUGUCAUUUUCUUCAUCUGUUAGGUGACUAUCACUUCCCAAGAUCCUGGUUGUUCCUUCUCCCCCCACUUUUUUUUUUAAAUGAAUUAUCACUUUUCUCACCAGAUUCUUUUUAGUCCUAACCAUCAUCCCCAUCCAGGGUGAAUUUAACCUACUGGUACACAAUCAUUCUAGAAAUCUGGAACUCUGUGGCAGGACUGUUGCAACAUCCUCCUUUUCCAGCCCAUUUCAGCCACAAAUUCAGUGAUCACAUCCUCCAGAGCUACAGUCUCUGUCCCCAAACCCCCACCUUCCAGCUCCCUUGCUACAGUGCUUCCUGUAAAUUCCUCUUUAAUUUUAGAACAGCCACUCCUUUCAUUGCUCCACUUUCCACAGGACUGCUCUUGGUGUCACUCACACAGCUUGGAGUCUAUGGCUGAGCAUAACAGUCAUACUCUUAUAGGUCCUUGGCUAUCAACCCCCAUCCUUAUGCUUCCAUCAGAGCAACUCAACUUGGCUAAAAACUACCAGAAACUAAAAAGAGUUUUAAUCACCAAAAAUGUGUAAUUAUGUUGCUUUGGGUAUGCCUGCAAAAUUUUGAGAGAAAGUCAAACUAAACAUAUAUAAAGCAGAAUUUCCUCUUAUACUAUUAGGUCCUGGAAGCUACAGCACAAAUUUAAGUCCCAGAGACCCUAGGUCUAAAAAUCUGAAGAUAUAAUUCCAACUAACAAACUGUUAAAUAAAAUAUGAUCUGUCUUUCUGUCUUGACAAAUAUACCUUCGUGGUGACCUAAAAGGCCAUGUUUCAAUUUUGUAUUUUAGGGCUCCUAAGAAUUCUGUAGGAGAUAUUGAAAUGGAGAGAAAGAAAAUACCCAGCUGAUGGCCCAUCCCUUUUUACUCUUUUUUUUUUUAAUUUAAACAGCAGUGGCAUAUGGAGGUUCCCAGGCUAGGGGUAUAAUCAGAGCUGUAGCUGCCAGCCUACACCAGAGCCAUGGCAAUGCAGUAUCCAAGCUACAUCUGCAACCUACACCAUAGCUCAUGGCAAUGCUGGAUCCUUAAUCCCCUGAGCGAGGCCAGGAAUCACACCCAAAACCUCAUGUUUCCUAGUCAGAUUCAAUAACCAGUGAGCCACGAUGGGGACUUCCUAUUUCUACUCUUAAUACCAGCUCCCUCCCAUAUAAAAAGAGUCUUGAGCAUGUGGACAGCCUAACCUGCAUGUACCUUUACCCUACUCAAAACAACUGCUUCUUAAUCUCUCUUAGGGCUUGAAGGUGCACACAAAUAGAGAUUGAUCUGAUCUCAGGAGGGCAGACAUGGGGAAAAGGAUCAACAGGACAAUAAGAUAACCUUGGGCUAUUUGUAUAGAAAGUUCUAGGUAGCCUGACAUCCCCAGGCUGGUUUAGGUCAAGGUGGGCUUUAGAUGUGCACAUCCCUUUAGACCUGUGGCUAAGGAAUGUGGUUGCCCAGCAAAGAGCCAGAGUGGGGACACCUAAAGUAUGAAGUUGAGAGUAGAGUCCCUCUUGCCAGGGUGCAAGAGCACUAUUGACUUGAGAAACCUCUAAAGGAGGAACUCUUUGCAAGUGCAAUGGGCUGAGUCAAUAAGAAAGCCUCUGUCAUUAAAAGAUUACAGAUCAUUAAUAUAGUGUAUUACGGUAACAUGGUAUGAAAACUCCCAGUAAAGCCCAGUUAUCAUCCAGAAAAAGGAGAAGAUUUUAAGAUUUUAAACCUUAUAUGAGAUUCCCAGGAGCCUCUGCAAAAGAUAGGGAUGCAGGAAGCUAUGUUUUGGGACCUCACUUAACAAGGUAUGAACCAAAGACAAGAGGACCAUUUAUUAUCAGAUCUCUUCAGCCUCUUGCAUUACCAUUCAGUGCUUUCAGCUUUGGCAAGUGAGGUCUCCACCAUAUGCAUGGAAAUACUCAAAGAGAAAGAGUGACAAUGGGGCCCACUGAGACCACAGUGAGCAGUAGACCAGUGCUGGUUCCUAUAGUAAGGAUGGCAACUCCAUCAAGAAAAACUUUGUCAGAGCACUUGGAAAACAUUCCCAGGCUCCUCCCUAAGCUACUUUGAAGUAAUGCUUGUUUUCGCAGGGAUCUGGACACCUAGGAAGCAGGUUAUGCAAGAGACCAGAAGCAAGAGGACAUUUAUAGUCACUUCUUAACUAGUUUUCAUGUUGUAGUGGAGGGGCUCCAAAAUCUACCCAUUUCACACCAGAUGUGGGAUCAGUUAGCUAUAGGAAUUACCACUCUGAGUAAUAGUUCCAGCCGAAUUUGCUCAAGAAAGGGACUUGACCUAACGUUUUGUGAUGUCCUCUAUAUGCUAGGCAUUGUACGUAUGAAGUUUAAUUCUCAAAAGAAUCCAGUGAGGUAGCUAUUAUGCUCAUAACACCCCAAGGCUCAUACAGAUCAAGAAAUUAUCCAAAGAUACAUGGUAGACAGAGACACUGUUCCUGAGAAAUGUUAGUCUCUGCUCUGCUGUUUUCUGUAAUUAUAAAAGUCUCUUCUUUAAGAGAGUCUUCUGGCAUCUUGACAGGAAAGGUUAUCUCAGUAAGAAAUUCUUGUAUUCAUAUUCAGUGUAAAUAGCACUCUUUUGACCUUGGCUGUCUUAUCUGUUUCAUAGUUCUAGAUACUAAAUUACAUUUCAUUAUGGUUAUAUCUGAAAUAAUUUUAGAUUGGGGGGAAAUAUUAGAAGUUUCCAUAAGAAAGACUUGUGUAUUAAAGAGCAUGUCCAAUCUCUAAGAGAUUUUCAUGUGGAUAUUUAAUAGAUAAUAUUUGAAGGUAUAAUAGAAUCCAAAGUGUACUUUGAAUAUAUUUACAUGUAUGGCAAAACACCCCUUUAGAUAUUCUUUCCAAGUCUCUCUAUUGAACAGCUUCAGUGCUGUGCUACCCUGCGUCUGACUCUCAUAUCCAGGUCCUAUACCUACUGCUUUUUGAAGCUCCGUAGAAGGAAUCUCAAAGCCAGAUAUGUUGGAUGCUGUCAGUUGACAAAAUUCUGGGUGAUAGUGGAAAGACAGUCAUCAUUUCGUUGCUUCAAAGAAUUCACAGGCUUCAGUGCCAUAUGUAUGAUAAACUGUGGCCACUGAUUAGAUUGUGGAUUUUUGAUGCCAGUUUUAUGAAGUUAUGCAAACCCAAUGCUGGUUUAUCAUGGUUACUAUCAGUGGAGUGACCCCAAUAUGCCUAUGGGUGAGGAGAGACAUGGCUGUUACACAGAACAGCCUGGACUUGAAAUUCCUUUUUUAUGAUCACAUUCAAAAAGCCAUGAACCUUUCCCACUUGCUAUCAUAUUUUAAUUCGCUGCCACACUUGUGAGCACACAUAUAAAUCAGGGUGCAUCUUUAAAAGAUAAAUCUCACAUCAAAUCCAGGGCAAACUAGUGCAUCCUUUUUUAUGGAAUCUAUGUGACCUG
RNAcentral lists this long non-coding RNA (6333 nucleotides) under Sus scrofa (pig). Its description in RNAcentral is "lncRNA (ENSSSCG00015007752.1)". The record is from RNAcentral. Lineage: Eukaryota; Metazoa; Chordata; Mammalia; Artiodactyla; Suidae.